GGGGGUAUACUCAGGGCUAGAGUACUUGCUUAGUAUGGAAGAGGCCCUGGGUUUGAGCCCCAGCACCACCA
RNAcentral lists this transfer RNA (71 nucleotides) under Fukomys damarensis (Damara mole-rat). It matches the Rfam family "tRNA". Rfam says of the family: Transfer RNA (tRNA) molecules are approximately 80 nucleotides in length. Their secondary structure includes four short double-helical elements and three loops (D, anti-codon, and T loops). Lineage: Eukaryota; Metazoa; Chordata; Mammalia; Rodentia; Bathyergidae. The record is from Rfam by way of RNAcentral.